AAUAAAGGCAACAGUAGUAUACCGUUGUUCAAAACUCAUAAAUCCAUGGACAAAAAACAAAAUCGGGGUAACAAACUAAAACCGAGGGAAACGCAUUAAAAAUAAGAGGAGAACAACGACACAACACCGAAACGCAACACACACAGAAACGGACCAAGCAGCAGACAAAACACCACGAGAAUAACAAAUAUAACAUCAAAACCAAAUACAUGAAUUUGGGAUAGACAAGUACCGUGCCACGUCUUAUCUCAAUAUAUCAAAAAUAAGAGAAAACACAAACGACUCAACGUUAAAAUGCAACACACACAGAAACGAAC
Molecule: long non-coding RNA, 317 nt
Filed under: Mytilus galloprovincialis (Mediterranean mussel)
Lineage: Eukaryota; Metazoa; Mollusca; Bivalvia; Mytilida; Mytilidae
Source: RNAcentral